RNAcentral lists this transfer RNA (68 nucleotides) under Arvicanthis rufinus. Its description in RNAcentral is "tRNA-His". It matches the Rfam family "tRNA". From Rfam's summary of the family: Transfer RNA (tRNA) molecules are approximately 80 nucleotides in length. Their secondary structure includes four short double-helical elements and three loops (D, anti-codon, and T loops). The record is from RNAcentral. Lineage: Eukaryota; Metazoa; Chordata; Mammalia; Rodentia; Muridae.
GUAAAUAUAGUUUAAACAAAACAUUAGACUGUGAAUCUAAAAACAGGAAAUCACUACCCUUAUUUACC